RNAcentral lists this ribosomal RNA (462 nucleotides) under Vreelandella stevensii. Its description in RNAcentral is "partial 16S ribosomal RNA". It matches the Rfam family "Bacterial small subunit ribosomal RNA", at positions 338 to 795 of the family's 1533-position model. The record is from RNAcentral. Lineage: Bacteria; Pseudomonadati; Pseudomonadota; Gammaproteobacteria; Oceanospirillales; Halomonadaceae.
CCUAGGGUGGCUGCAGUGGGGAAUAUUGGACAAUGGGCGAAAGCCUGAUCCAGCCAUGCCGCGUGUGUGAAGAAGGCCUUCGGGUUGUAAAGCACUUUCAGUGGGGAAGAAAGCCUUGGGGCUAAUACCCUCGAGGAAGGACAUCACCCACAGAAGAAGCACCGGCUAACUCCGUGCCAGCAGCCGCGGUAAUACGGAGGGUGCGAGCGUUAAUCGGAAUUACUGGGCGUAAAGCGCGCGUAGGCGGUCUGAUAAGCCGGUUGUGAAAGCCCCGGGCUCAACCUGGGAACGGCAUCCGGAACUGUCAGGCUAGAGUGCAGGAGAGGAAGGUAGAAUUCCCGGUGUAGCGGUGAAAUGCGUAGAGAUCGGGAGGAAUACCAGUGGCGAAGGCGGCCUUCUGGACUGACACUGACGCUGAGGUGCGAAAGCGUGGGUAGCAAACAGGAUUAGAUACCUAGUGUC